AACCNUCNNCUGCAGUCGACGAUUCCUACGGGAGGCAGCAGUGGGGAAUAUUGGACAAUGGGGGCAACCCUGAUCCAGCCAUGCCGCGUGGGUGAAGAAGGCCUUAGGGUUGUAAAACUCUUUCAGCGGGGAAGAUGAUGACGGUACCCGCAGAAGAAGCCCCGGCUAACUCCGUGCCAGCAGCCGCGGUAAUACGGAGGGGGCAAGCGUUGUUCGGAAUUACUGGGCGUAAAGGGCGUGUAGGCGGUUUGUCUAGUCAGGCGUGAAAGCCCCGGGCUUAACCUGGGAACUGCGUUUGAUACUGACAGGCUAGAGGUUGGGAGAGGAGAGUGGAAUUCCCAGUGUAGAGGUGAAAUUCGUAGAUAUUGGGAAGAACACCAGUGGCGAAGGCGGCUCUCUGGUCCACACCUGACGCUGAGGCGCGAAAGCGUGGGGAGCAAACAGGAUUAGAUACCCUGGUAGUCCACGCCGUAAACGAUGUGUGCUAGACGUUGGAUGUUCAGCAUUCGGUGUCGGAGCUAACGCAUUAAGCACACCGCCUGGGGAGUACGGCCGCAAGGUUAAAACUCAAAGGAAUUGACGG
This 583-nucleotide ribosomal RNA is filed under the name uncultured Paracoccaceae bacterium. RNAcentral's name for it is "bacterial SSU rRNA". It matches the Rfam family "Bacterial small subunit ribosomal RNA", at positions 299 to 916 of the family's 1533-position model. Lineage: Bacteria; Pseudomonadati; Pseudomonadota; Alphaproteobacteria; Rhodobacterales; Paracoccaceae. The record is from RNAcentral.